RNAcentral lists this ribosomal RNA (492 nucleotides) under uncultured bacterium. RNAcentral describes it as "partial 16S ribosomal RNA". It matches the Rfam family "Bacterial small subunit ribosomal RNA", at positions 29 to 507 of the family's 1533-position model. The record is from RNAcentral.
AGUGAACGCUGGCGGUAGGCCUAACACAUGCAAGUCGAACGGCAGCACAGUAAGAGCUUGCUCUUACGGGUGGCGAGUGGCGGACGGGUGAGGAAUACAUCGGAAUCUACUUUUUCGUGGGGGAUAACGUAGGGAAACUUACGCUAAUACCGCAUACGACCUACGGGUGAAAGCAGGGGAUCUUCGGACCUCGCGCGAUUGAAUGAGCCGAUGUCGGAUUAGCUAGUUGGCGGGGUAAAGGCCCACCAAGGCGACGAUCCGUAGCUGGUCUGAGAGGAUGGUCAGCCACACUGGAACUGAGACACGGUCCAGACUCCUACGGGAGGCAGCAGUGGGGAAUAUUGGACAAUGGGCGCAAGCCUGAUCCAGCCAUACCGCGUGGGUGAAGAAGGCCUUCGGGUUGUAAAGCCCUUUUGUUGGGAAAGAAAAGCAGCAGGUUAAUACCCCGCUGUUCUGACGGUACCCAAAGAAUAAGCACCGGCUAACUUCGUG